AAGUCGUAACAAGGUUUCCGUAGGUGAACCUGCGGAAGGAUCAUUAACACGUAUCCACGUAUCAACCCCUUGUGCUUUUUUACGUUUUGGUUCCCCUGUCUUGAGUGAUUACCCCUUUGAGGCUGGUACGGGAUGGAAUGGACCUGGCCUUCGUGGCUGGGUGCCCGUGCCUGGCUGUUGUUGACGCGAGUCAGCAUCGGGAUUCUCGCUCUACCGUUACAGGGAAUUUUUCUUUCAUGUAACCAUUCUACAUGGCCUCUUAUAAACCUUAUAAACCCCUUUGUAACUUAUCUUGCUAACGCAAUUUGAAGUGGUUCUCGCUGGACGAAAGUUCGGUGGAACUCUUCAGGAUUACGAAAUGCUUGACAACUCUUAGCAACGGAUAUCUUGGUUCUC
RNAcentral lists this unclassified non-coding RNA (396 nucleotides) under fungal sp. Its description in RNAcentral is "partial internal transcribed spacer region". The stretch from base 1 to 46 matches the Rfam family "Eukaryotic small subunit ribosomal RNA", at positions 1786 to 1831 of the family's 1831-position model. Lineage: Eukaryota; Fungi. The record is from RNAcentral.